UACGUAGGGGGCUAGCGUUGUCCGGAAUCAUUGGGCGUAAAGCGCGUGUAGGCGGUUCGGUAAGUCCGCUGUGAAAGUCGGGGGCUCAACCCUCGGAUGCCGGCGGAUACUGUCGGACUAGAGUACGGAAGAGGCGAGUGGAAUUCCUGGUGUAGCGGUGAAAUGCGCAGAUAUCAGGAGGAACACCGAUUGCGAAGGCAGCUCGCUGGGACGUUACUGACGCUGAGACGCGAAAGCGUGGGGAGCAAACAGG
This 253-nucleotide ribosomal RNA is filed under the name uncultured bacterium. Its description in RNAcentral is "partial 16S ribosomal RNA". It matches the Rfam family "Bacterial small subunit ribosomal RNA", at positions 524 to 776 of the family's 1533-position model. The record is from RNAcentral.